AAUAUUGGACAAUGGGGGCAACCCUGAUCCAGCCAUGCCGCGUGUGUGAAGAAGGUCUUCGGAUUGUAAUGCACUUUAGGUUGGGAGGAAGGCCAUUAGGUUAAUACCCUGAAGUUUUGACGUUACCAACAGAAUAAGCACCGGCUACUUCUGUGCCAGCAGCCGCGGCAAUACAGAGGGUGCAAGCGUUAAUCGGAAUUACUGGUCGUAAAGUGCGCGUAGGUGGUUCAGUAAGAUGGGUGUGAAAUGCACGGGCUUAACCUGGGAACUGCUUUCAUAACUGCUGAGCUAGAGUACGGUAGAGGGUAGUGGAAUUUCCUGUGUAGCGGUGAAAUGCGUAGAUAUAGGAAGGAACACCAGUGGCGAAGGCGACUACCUGGACUGAUACUGACACUGAGGUGCGAAAGCGUGGGGAGCAAAC
RNAcentral lists this ribosomal RNA (421 nucleotides) under uncultured bacterium. RNAcentral's name for it is "partial 16S ribosomal RNA". It matches the Rfam family "Bacterial small subunit ribosomal RNA", at positions 360 to 773 of the family's 1533-position model. The record is from RNAcentral.